GGAAUCUUGCGCAAUGGGCGAAAGCCUGACGCAGCAACGCCGCGUGCGGGAAGAAGGCUUUCGGGCUGUAAACCGCUUUCAGUAGGAACGAAACUGACGGUACCUACAGAAGAAGGAGCGGCCAACUAUGUGCCAGCAGCCGCGGUGACACAUAGGCUCCAAGCGUUGUCCGGAUUUAUUGGGCGUAAAGAGCUCGUAGGCGGUUGAGUAAGUCGGGUGUGAAAACUUUGGGCUUAACCCAAAGAUGCCACUCGAUACUGCUUUGACUUGAGUUCGGUAGGGGAGUGGGGAAUUCCUUGUGUAGCGGUGAAAUGCGCAGAUAUGAGGAGGAACAUCGGUGGCGAAGGCGCCACUCUGGGCCGAUACUGACGCUGAGGAGCGAAAGCGCGGGGAGCAAACAGGAUUAGAUACCCUGGUAGUCCACGCGGUAAACGGUGGUCACUAGGUGUGGGUCUCUUCAAACGAGAUCUGCGCCGUCGCUAACGCAUUAAGUGACCCGCCUGGGGAGUACGGUCGCAAGACUAAAACUCAAAUGAAUUGACGG
This 544-nucleotide ribosomal RNA is filed under the name uncultured bacterium. RNAcentral describes it as "bacterial SSU rRNA". It matches the Rfam family "Bacterial small subunit ribosomal RNA", at positions 358 to 916 of the family's 1533-position model. The record is from RNAcentral.